This 64-nucleotide transfer RNA is filed under the name Flavonifractor sp. An9. RNAcentral describes it as "tRNA-Pro". It matches the Rfam family "tRNA". Rfam says of the family: Transfer RNA (tRNA) molecules are approximately 80 nucleotides in length. Their secondary structure includes four short double-helical elements and three loops (D, anti-codon, and T loops). Lineage: Bacteria; Bacillati; Bacillota; Clostridia; Eubacteriales; Oscillospiraceae. The record is from RNAcentral.
UCGGGUGUAGCGCGCCUGCUUUGGGAGCAGGAUGCCGGGAGUUCAAGUCUCCCCACUCGGACCA